GACAGAGGCCCCAAGCGUUAGGCGGAAUCACUGGGCUUAAAGCGUGUGUAGGCGGAUCGUUAAGUGUCUUGUGAAAAUCCCACGGCUCACCCCGUGGAACUGCUGGGCAUACUGGCGAUCUUGGGCCAACUAGGGGCAGCCGGAACAAGCGGUGGAGCGGUGAAAUGCGUAGAUAUCGCUUGGAACGCCGAAGGUGAAAACAGGCUGCUGGGGUUGCGCCGACGCUGAGACACGAAAGCCAGGGGAGCAAACAGG
Molecule: ribosomal RNA, 255 nt
Filed under: uncultured bacterium
Lineage: Bacteria
Description: partial 16S ribosomal RNA
Rfam family: Bacterial small subunit ribosomal RNA
Source: RNAcentral